UGAAAACGACUGUUCAUUCGGCUAUAUUGAAUCUUUGAUCUCUCUCUGACUCUAAAUUGUUUUUCCUUUUUUGUUUUUAAAUAUACUAUUGAUAUUUAAAAAUGUCGGACAACGAGAAGGAGGAAGCUCGUAAUCUACAAAUGGAAUUUGAAUGGGUACUUCAUGAUGAAAUACACCCAUGCUUACAACAAUUGAGAUCAAUACUGACAGAAUGUUGUUCGCGAUUUCCUAUGGCUCUAUUUGGUAAUGAUCAACAAUGUAAAGUUGAUAGAUUUGUUUUUUCGUCUCCACACGAUCAAGUUAAAUGUGUAGUUGUACUUACUGGUGACAGUAUUACGAAUGCUGAAGUGACAUUCAAAGUCCAACGUCAGCAAAACGUUUCAAUGAGAACAAGUAUACAGAAUGAUCAUCCAUGGAAAUUACAACAGAUUCAAGAUGCUGCGAAUCACCUUCAACAAGCUAUUGCUCAUAUUGACAAUGUAGAUCGUAAUUAUUUAUUUAAAACAUCUGAGGAAGUUUUACAUAUACUUGCUAAUAUCCUUGGGUGCCUUCAACGAAGUCGGUCGAGUUUAAUUGUGCCUAAAAAGAAAACCAUUGAUGAUUUGAUGAAGAGUCGCAAUAUGAAAUCAUUAAAUCCAAAUUUACCAGAAAACUUGGCAAUUAGUUUCUACAUUCAAAGCUAUAAGCUCAUUUUGGCUGUAUAUCAGUUAGAAAGUACACAUGGAAAUGUAAAAUAUGAGUCGCAGCAAGCUGAAUGUAAUGUACCAUGGCUGAAUGACGCUUUGAUAUUAUUAACCAUAGCUCUACAGCUUUGUCAACGACUGAAAGAUAAGCAAUGAAGGUAAAAAAGAAUAGUACAAUUUAAUUUCAAAUAUCCAAUAAAGGCAAAGAAAUUUUUUUAUUUUUAAAUUGAAGCUCGAAUAAUUUUGCAUAAGAUAGAUUUAUACAUAAUUUUGAAAUAAUUUAAUAACAUUUGACGUGAACAAAGUCUAUAAAAUUCCAAUGAAGUAAAAUUUUUGGGAUAUCUGUGUUUUCUCAGUAUAAAGAUUUUACCGUAGGAUCAAGAGUUCCAUCAGUUAUGGGUUUAAACUAAAGUGUAUAAAAAAAAUUUUAUUUAUUUAUUUUUUUUUUUUUUAAGAUAAUAAAUCGUGUGAAUCAGUUUUACUAGAUGUGUUCAAUUAAAAAUGCACACUAAUCCAGUGAUUAGACCUUUGCUAGAAUUUCUUUUAAGAUAGACUAAUUUUUUCUUUUAAUUUUAACUAUAAAUUCAACGUAAGAAUAGUAAGAGUAAUGUUAAUAUAAGAAAAUAAAGCCAUCUUAAAUCGUAA
RNA transcript from Cotesia glomerata, 1328 nucleotides. It is a transcript of the gene named protein rogdi, with no coding region annotated. NCBI's taxonomy places the organism in Eukaryota, Metazoa, Arthropoda, Insecta, Hymenoptera, Braconidae. The transcript has 7 exons. The record is from RefSeq and is a predicted model, not a curated record.